CAGCAGCCGCGGGAAUACAGAGGGUGCGAGCGUUAAUCGGAUUUACUGGGCGUAAAGCGUGCGUAGGCGGCUAAUUGAGUCGGAUGUGAAAUCCCCGAGCUUAACUUGGGAAUUGCAUUCGAUACUGGUUAGCUAGAGUGUGGGAGAGGAUGGUAGAAUUCCAGGUGUAGCGGUGAAAUGCGUAGAGAUCUGGAGGAAUACCGAUGGCGAAGGCAGCCAUCUGGCCUAACACUGACGCUGAGGUACAAAAGCAUGGGGAGCAAACAGGAUUAGAUACCCCCGUAGUCCCUGUCUCUUAUAA
RNAcentral lists this ribosomal RNA (301 nucleotides) under uncultured bacterium. RNAcentral's name for it is "partial 16S ribosomal RNA". It matches the Rfam family "Bacterial small subunit ribosomal RNA", at positions 509 to 809 of the family's 1533-position model. The record is from RNAcentral.